AAUUCCAUACCUAAGUUCCACAACUAUAUCCACCAGGGUUUCAUCGUUGGGUCUCAUCAAACAAGCUAACAUUCAAGAUCCUUCUAU
Molecule: small RNA, 87 nt
Filed under: Arabidopsis thaliana (thale cress)
Lineage: Eukaryota; Viridiplantae; Streptophyta; Magnoliopsida; Brassicales; Brassicaceae
Description: ATSL090560
Source: RNAcentral